This 502-nucleotide ribosomal RNA is filed under the name uncultured bacterium. RNAcentral describes it as "partial 16S ribosomal RNA". It matches the Rfam family "Bacterial small subunit ribosomal RNA", at positions 28 to 523 of the family's 1533-position model. The record is from RNAcentral.
GACGAACGCUGGCGGCGUGCCUAAUACAUGCAAGUCGAGCGAAGUGGAGAGAGCUUGCUCUCAAAGCUUAGCGGCGAACGGGUGAGUAACACGUGGGCAACCUGCCUGACAGACCGGGAUAACUUGGGGAAACUAAAGCUAAUACCGGAUAGGACCUCAAAUCGCUGGGUUUGAGAUGGAAAGACUGAACGACACUGUCAGACGGGCCCGCGGCACAUUAGCCAGUGGGUGGGGUAAUGGCCUCCCAAGGCGACGCUGCCUAGCCGACCGGAGAGGGUGACCGGCCACACUGGGACUGAGACACGGCCCAGACUCCUACGGGAGGCAGCAGUAGGGAAUCUUCCACAAUGGACGAAAGUCUGAUGGAGCAACGCCGCGUGAGUGAUGAAGGUUGUCGGAUCGUAAAACUCUGUUGUUAGGGAAGAACACCCGGGAGAGGAUCCCGGAUUGACGGUACCUGACGAGAAAGCCCCGGCUAACUACGUGCCAGCCGCCGCCGUAA